UACGGAGGGGGCGAGCGUUAUUCGGAAUUAUUGGGCGUAAAGGGCGCGUAGGCGGCUUGACAAGUCAAAGGUGAAAUCCCUCGGCUCAACUGAGGAACUGCCUUUGAAACUGUCUGGCUUGAGGCCGGGAGGGGGUAGCGGAAUUCCCAGUGUAGCGGUGAAGUGCGUAGAUAUUGGGAGGAACACCAGUGGCGAAGGCGGCUACCUGGACCGGUUCUGACGCUGAUGCGCGAAAGCGUGGGUAGCAAACAGG
This 253-nucleotide ribosomal RNA is filed under the name uncultured bacterium. RNAcentral's name for it is "partial 16S ribosomal RNA". It matches the Rfam family "Bacterial small subunit ribosomal RNA", at positions 524 to 776 of the family's 1533-position model. The record is from RNAcentral.